AACACCAGGCGAUUCCGGCGAGUUCCGGCGGCCCUCGCCGGAGCGCAGCACACCCACGAGCUCCCCUCGUGACGGUGCUUCCUUUCCUCCGGCUAGAUCUGCUCCUCACGGCCGCAAGCGCUCGCGCGCGACCCAUCCCCGCUGCUAGGGCUUCGGCUGCCCCCAACUCUGGUGAGCCACCCUCCUCCAUGGACGAGGACGACCACCACGGCCGCACAUGGUCGAGCUCACCGUCGUUUCCUCCGGUGCGGUGAUGGGCCAACGAGCUCCGCCUCCACGGCUCCUAGCUCGGCUUCUGUUCUCCAUGGACGAAUCUCAACUGGAAACAGCAAGCCAUCUCAAGGGAGGGGAUUGUCAAGUCACCCCACUUCCAAUCCAUGGAUGCUAUCCACAAGGACCAAGAUGAUGACGACCAGGAUGGAAGGAGCCCACGCCCGACCCCGACGACGGCGGUUUCAUUUGUGUGCCGGCGUCGACCACAACCUCCCUCUCUGUAAUAUGUACAUCACUAACCCAGUCAGUGGUUAUGAAUUUCGCUCUCUGAAGGACGUGCAACGUUAUAUUGAAUCAGGGGACACAAGUAAAUGCAAUGUUAGGCCAAAGAAGAGAACUGCCCAGGAUGCUUGUAUUACACAGAAUCAAGAUUAUGUGAGUUCCUCCUAUUGUUUUCACUUUCUGUAGCUUGCAUGUUUGUGUGGGCUGGAAAUGUGUGAGAACAAUGCAAUCUACAAAAACAAUUAGCUUCAUCAAUUGGAAGUUCUCAUCGAUUGGAAGUUGCAGGGGAUUCAGUCUCUGACUAAACUGAUUAACUAACUGGUGUAUCUCCUUGGCAUGAUGUGCAUUAGCUUCAUCAAUUACAAUGCCUUGCUAGAGCUUCUGCCCGUGUGUUUAUUUCACACCACAUUCAAAGUUAAAUGUACCUGCGACGCCUCUUUUGGGACUGCUCGUGACGACCAUUCUGUGUUAUCCUGACAUGGCUUGCUAUGCUGUUGCGUCCGUGCAACUCUCUGUAGAAAAGACAGUAAAGUUGUCCACGCGUUGGACCCGAUGGGAGCCCCGACCAAACCACUCCACCGCAGUUCAAUACCUGUCGCAGAUGAUCCAGACGCUGUUGUUUCCAAAGAGAACUCCCAAUGCGGUCGUGAAGAAGCUGUCGUAUAUAACAGUUGAUAAACAUGACAAAAAUUCUCCGCCGCUGUUUGGAGGACAUUAAACCUGGGAGCAGAGGAAGGAAAGCUUUAAGUUGAAUGCUACCAUGAAGGUGUUGGCCGACGAGCUCACGCCCAAAGCGCGAUGAACCACAUACAUUUUAUACCCCUGUUUUCUUGGCAAAAAUACAUUUUACUUCCUCUAAUUUUAAAUAGGAUAUUCUUGGGAAUGAGAUGUAAUUUUAGGAGAAUUACAUUUCAGCAUUUUAUUUUAUCCUGAAACUAUUGAUCUCUCU
Long non-coding RNA from Triticum dicoccoides, 1444 nucleotides. RefSeq lists it as uncharacterized. NCBI's taxonomy places the organism in Eukaryota, Viridiplantae, Streptophyta, Magnoliopsida, Poales, Poaceae. The record is from RefSeq and is a predicted model, not a curated record. The transcript has 6 exons.